GUCUAUGACCAUGCCACCUUGAACAAGCUCAAUCCUGUCUGAUCUCAGAAGCUAAGCAGGGCUGGGCCUGGUUAGUACUUGGAUGGGAGACCACCUAAGAAGACCAGGGACUGUAGGCA
Molecule: ribosomal RNA, 119 nt
Filed under: Pteropus alecto (black flying fox)
Lineage: Eukaryota; Metazoa; Chordata; Mammalia; Chiroptera; Pteropodidae
Source: RNAcentral